Vidua chalybeata is the source of this 254-nucleotide long non-coding RNA. RefSeq lists it as uncharacterized. The record is from RefSeq and is a predicted model, not a curated record. Lineage: Eukaryota; Metazoa; Chordata; Aves; Passeriformes; Viduidae. The transcript is spliced from 3 exons.
GACAGCUGCGGGACGCCGGGAUGCGCGGGAACUCACAGCGUUCCUUCCUGCCCUGCCGCCACCGCUCCACCUGGCCCGGCGGCAGAGGAGGGAGAGGGGAAGGCGGCGGUGGCGCGUAGCAGAAGGAAAUUGCCUGCAACCCUGCAACCUAGAAUGGGACCUGGCAAGACAAUUUGUGGUCUGCCUGGUCAUUGCUCAAGCACCCUGCUCUUCAGCUCUUCCAGCACAAAUGUUUCAAACUUUGUUAAGCCAUU